Solanum pennellii is the source of this 1127-nucleotide long non-coding RNA. RefSeq lists it as uncharacterized. The record is from RefSeq and is a predicted model, not a curated record. The transcript has 4 exons. Lineage: Eukaryota; Viridiplantae; Streptophyta; Magnoliopsida; Solanales; Solanaceae.
CCGCCUCCCUUCCCCUCUCCUCGCUUCGGCGAGUGAUGUCAGUUCCGGAUAGGCCAGCAAUCGCUGGCCUCCUCUACUUCUAUUUUUUAUCUCCUGGCCUCUUCUCUCUGUCCUCCUCUCCAGUCAACAGCAAGAAAGACGAAGCAAGUAGCAACUAGUGAACACCAGCGACGGUGAAAUACAAGCUAGUCGCUACGAUAGGCCGUCGCAAUCUGUAGCAGUAGCUAGAGGUGGCGACACCACCCUCCCCUCUUUGCCUCUUUUAUCCUAGAUGAAGCGAGCUGCUUCGAGAAGCAAGCACCAACGCAGACUCGGAGAAACAACAACUCAACGAGACAUCAACAACAGCUCCGGCGAGCGACCAGACAACUUCUUCCUGUCCCUUGCCACCUCUCUCCUUGGAUCCGGCGAGGACAACCAAGCAAGAUCCGGUGAAGUCCAAGCUCUUGGUCGUUAGACGGAUCUGGACAGAUCCGUCCGGGUUAGUCUUUCUUCUAAUUUAUCCUUUUAAUACAAUUUCAUAUUUUGCUUAUGGAAUCUGUUAUUUGCAUUUGCUCUAGGUGAAUGUUACUGUGAAUCUAAUGUCAUCUCAAAGGAAGAUCUCUGCGAUGCGGACUUGUUUCUCGACGAAAAUAUAAAAUUUAGAAUUCAAGUUCGACUUCAUUAAAAGGUACUAUGUCAAUGUGGGAACGUUGUGGAAAUGAAGACCUCAUGGACGCAAUCCAAUCCUGGACGUAGGUUCCUUUGUUGCAAAACUUCAAAGGCACGAGGUGGAUGUGGAUAUUUUCGAUGGUAUGAUGAUGAAAUGCCUGCUCAAGCUAGGAGGGUGAUAUGGGGUUUGUUGAAAAGAGUCAAAACAUAUGAAUUGGAGAGGAAUCGAUCAAGAAAAGUAUGGAUAAUAUGCAUCAUCGUAGGGGUGAUAUUGGCUACUUGGAUUUGUGUAACAAAAUAAUCUUAGUUGAUUCAUUUGUCUUCUAUUAGAUUCCUUCAUAAAAGUAUGUAUGGUAGAUUCUAGUGUUCUUUAUGGGCAAUUUAGAUCGAUUUUUCUAUUGUAAAUGCCUUGUGUUUUUAUUGUAAUGAUUUAAUUGAAGGAAUGAAGAUAAUUUGUGCCUCAAAAGCAGUAAAAA